CCUACGGGAGACAGCAGUAGGGAAUAUUGCUCAAUGGGGGAAACCCUGAAGCAGCAACGCCGCGUGGGGGAUGAAGGUUUUCUGAUUGUAAACUCCUUUUUUUAGAGAAGAUAAUGACGGUAUCUAACGAAUUAGCAGCGUAUAACUCCGUGCCAGCAGCCGCAGUAACACGGAGGGUGCAAGCGUUACUCGGAAUCACUGGGCGUAAAGAGCGAGUAUGCGGGAUAGCAAGUCAGAUGUGAAAUCCUAUGGCUUAACCCUAGAACUGCAUUUGAAACUGGUAUUCUAGAGUAUGGGAGAGGUAGGUGGAAUUCUUGGUGUAGGGGUAAAAUCCGUAGAGAUCAAGAAGAAUACUCAUUGCGAAGGCGGCAUGCUAGAACAUAACUGACGCUGAUGCGCGAAAGCGUGGGGAGCGAACAGGAUUAGAUACCCGUGUAGUC
This 440-nucleotide ribosomal RNA is filed under the name uncultured bacterium. Its description in RNAcentral is "partial 16S ribosomal RNA". It matches the Rfam family "Bacterial small subunit ribosomal RNA", at positions 338 to 795 of the family's 1533-position model. The record is from RNAcentral.